GCAGGAAGGACAAGCCAGAAGCUGGGGUUUCCCUGCAAGUGGGUUCAGGCCAUGGUGUCUCCCAGUGAUGCUGGUUUCUUGCUUCCUGGGUGGCUCGCAGUGACAGCCGCCCUCUCCCUCCCUCCCACACUCCCUUGCAGAGUCUCAGCUAUUUCCUGGAGGUCUUGGUGAGCGUUCAGACCUUCAUGCCCCGGGCCAAGCUUCUGGUCAUCAGCAGUGUUGUGCACCUGCAGCUCUGUGAUGAGAUCAAGCCACCCAGCCCAGAGCACAGCACAGAGCUGUGCUACUGCACCAUGCUGCAGGCCCAAAUUUGUCCAGAAGAGAUGAUCGUGUUCCUGCAGUCUGAGUUAGCAGUGGGCGUGAGGCCGGUCAUGUGGCAGCCAUGGAUUUGCUGCAAGCUCUGGUCUGCUCUGAUGCCCCUCAGAUCGAGGGAGAAGCUGCCCCUGGCUGUGAUGGCUGUGCAGUCUGUGUGCUGUGGCCCAGGUGAGCUGGUUUGGGCAGGGCCAGUGCUGCCGUGGGGGCAGAGCAACCCUAUCCCUGAGACAGAGCAUGGUGAGUCCAUACCAGUAGGCAAAGGCAGGACCUGGGGCCAGAGCCCAGUGGCGGCUGUGGAGUGAGGGCUGCUGCUGAGCCCUCAUCGUCUUGGCCUGGCCGGAAGGGUUGCAGUGCUUUGAAAGCAGCUCCCCUGGGGUUUUGAGCCAGGGUUGUAACUGCAGCCUCCCUGGCAGCUGAGGAGGGCAAUUCUUCAUUUCAUUGGGGAGCUGCUGCGCUCCAGUGCCCUGGGCUGCUCGGCGUGGGACGUGGUGGGGCACCUCUUCAGCGAGUUCAGCCGGGCCUCGGGCAGACUGGUAAGGGCAGAGUGUGAUGCUGGGGCUGUGUCCUGUGCCCCAGCUGUGCCGCACUGCCAUGGGCGUCCCUAACUGCAGGGAGCCUGGUGCAGCAGGGCAACCAGUGCUGCAGUGGGAGUAGCCUCCCCAUCGCCAUCCACCGUGGGAUCUGGGAAGGGGCAGUGGCAGGUGUUUCCCACCUCUGUCUUGCAGGUGACAGGAAACCUUUGUGCUGAGGAAGCCCAGGAAGAAAAGGC
Molecule: long non-coding RNA, 1084 nt
Filed under: Dromaius novaehollandiae (emu)
Lineage: Eukaryota; Metazoa; Chordata; Aves; Casuariiformes; Dromaiidae
Description: lncRNA (ENSDNVG00000011651.1)
Source: RNAcentral